RNAcentral lists this ribosomal RNA (449 nucleotides) under uncultured bacterium. RNAcentral's name for it is "partial 16S ribosomal RNA". It matches the Rfam family "Bacterial small subunit ribosomal RNA", at positions 29 to 523 of the family's 1533-position model. The record is from RNAcentral.
AACGAACGCUGGCGGCAUGCCUAACACAUGCAAGUCGAACGAACCCUUCGGGGUUAGUGGCGCACGGGUGCGUAACGCGUGGGAAUCUGCCCUAGGCUUCGGAAUAACAGUUAGAAAUGACUGCUAAUACCGGCUGAUGUCUUCGGACCAAAGAUUUAUCGGUCAGGGAUGAGCCCGCGUAGGAUUAGGUAGUUGGUGGGGUAAAGGCCUACCAAGCCGACGAUCCUUAGCUGGUCUGAGAGGAUGAUCAGCCACACUGGGACUGAGACACGGCCCAGACUCCUACGGGAGGCAGCAGUGGGGAAUAUUGGACAAUGGGCGCAAGCCUGAUCCAGCAAUGCCGCGUGAGUGAUGAAGGCCUUAGGGUCGUAAAGCUCUUUUACCCGGGAUGAUAAUGACAGUACCGGGAGAAUAAGCUCCGGCUAACUCCGUGCCAGCAGCCGCAGUAA